This 348-nucleotide ribosomal RNA is filed under the name uncultured bacterium. RNAcentral describes it as "partial 16S ribosomal RNA". It matches the Rfam family "Bacterial small subunit ribosomal RNA", at positions 338 to 701 of the family's 1533-position model. The record is from RNAcentral.
CCUACGGGAGGCAGCAGUGGGGAAUAUUGGGCAAUGGGCGCAAGCCUGACCCAGCAACGCCGCGUGAAGGAAGAAGGCUUUCGGGUUGUAAACUUCUAUUAAGAGGGAAGAGCAGAAGACGGUACCUCUUGAAUAAGCCACGGCUAACGACGGGCCAGCAGCCGCGGUAAUACGUAGGUGGCAAGCGUUGUCCGGAUUUACUGGGUGGAAAGGGCGUGCAGCCGGGAAGACAAGUCAGAUGUGAAAUCCCGCGGCUCAACCGCGGAACGGCAUUGGAAACUGUUUUUCUUGAGUACCGGAGACGUCAUCUGAAUUCCUUGUGUCGCGGUGCAAUGCGUAGAUAUACGG